Molecule: ribosomal RNA, 429 nt
Filed under: Chloroflexota bacterium
Lineage: Bacteria; Bacillati; Chloroflexota
Description: Chloroflexi bacterium partial 16S ribosomal RNA
Rfam family: Bacterial small subunit ribosomal RNA
Source: RNAcentral
UGGGGAAUAUUGCACAAUGGGCGCAAGCCUGAUGCAGCCAUGCCGCGGGUAUGAAGAAGGCCUUCGGGUUGUAAAGUACUUUCAGCGGGGAGAAAGGGAGUAAAGUUAAUACCUUUACUCAUUGACGUUACCCGCAGAAGAAGCACCGGCUAACUCCGUGCCAGCAGCCGCGGUAAUACGGAGGGUGCAAGCGUUAAUCGGAAUUACUGGGCGUAAAGCGCACGCAGGCGGUUGGUUAAGUCAGAUGUGAAGUCCCCGGGCUCAACCUGGGAACUGCAUCUGAUACUGGCAAGCUUGAGUCUCGUAGAGGGGGGUAGAAUUCCAGGUGUAGCGGUGAAAUGCGUAGAGAUCUGGAGGAAUACCGGUGGCGAAGGCGGCCCCCUGGACGAAGACUGACGCUCAGGUGGGAAAGAGUGGGGAGCAAACAGG